CCUACGGGAGGCAGCAGUGGGGAAUUUUUGGACAAUGGGGGGCAACCCUGAUCCAGCCAUUCCGCGUGAGUGAAGAAGGCCUUCGGGUUGUAAAGCUCUUUCGCAAGGGAAGAAAACUUAUGAUCGAAUAAAUCAUGAGGUUGACGGUACCUUGAUAAGAAGCACCGGCUAACUACGUGCCAGCAGCCGCGGUAAUACGUAGGGUGCGAGCGUUAAUCGGAAUUACUGGGCGUAAAGCGUGCGCAGGCGGUUUUGUAAGUCGGAUGUGAAAUCCCCGGGCUCAACCUGGGAACUGCGUUCGAAACUGCAAGGCUAGAGUGUGUCAGAGGGGGGUUAGAAUUCCACGUGUAGCAGUGAAAUGCGUAGAGAUGUGGAGGAAUACCAAUGGCGAAGGCAGCCCCCUGGGAUAACACUGACGCUCAUGCACGAAAGCGUGGGGAGCAAACCAGGAUUAGAUACCCUGGUAGUCCACGCCCUAAACGAUGUCAACUAGUUGUUGGUAGAGUAAAAUCUAAUGAGUAACGUAGCUAACGCGUGAAGUUGACCGCCUGGGAGUACGGUGCAAGNUUAAAACGUCAAAGGAUUGACGGCUGAGACCCGNGCGACGCGACGACGAGGGAGGAGG
Molecule: ribosomal RNA, 625 nt
Filed under: uncultured bacterium
Lineage: Bacteria
Description: bacterial SSU rRNA
Rfam family: Bacterial small subunit ribosomal RNA
Source: RNAcentral